GCUGGGAUUACAGGCGUGCACCAACGCUUGGCUAAUUUCUUUGUAUUUUUAGUAGAGAUGGGGUUUCACCAUGUUGGCCAGGCUGGUCUCGAACUCCUGACCUCAUGUGAUCCACCCACCUUGGCCUCCCAAAGUGCUGGGAUUACUGGCAUGAGUCAUCACACGUGGCCUAGAUUCAUCUAAAUUUUAAAACAUGGGAUGUUGCAAUCAGAUAGAAGAGCCAGAUCCAGUAUUGGCAGCUGUUACUGGUUUUGUGACCUGAAGAAGCUAAUCAAUGUUUCUAAGCCUCAAUUCCCUUCUCUGUAAAAGUGGGUGCUCACAGUGUUGUUGAGAAGAUUAAGCAGGGAAGAGUGUGUGAAACUACCUUACACAUAGCAAGGGCUCAAUAAAUGGUAGUAACUGUUCUUUGUUUUAAAAAAUUUUUGCUUAAUCCACUGCACAAUAAAGUGACCCAUGGAAGACCUUGGGAAAUGUUUACAGGUUUCAAAUUUGGUGUUUGCCAAGUAUUGCAAAACAUCUACCCCUCCUCACUACACACUUGUACUCCUGUUAAAAUACAUUACUGUGCUUGAAGGUGUCCAGUCUUCUAUUGUCUUGCAUAGUAGCACAGGCGAGCUUGGUGAAGGUAGGUGGAAUCAGGGUGUGUUUUCAGCAACAAGUGAGCAGAGGAGCUGAGCGGGUGGUUCUGAGCAAAGGGCCCGAGAAGUGACAGCAGAGGGGGAGUGAUGCCGAAACGAUAAUAUUAGAGUACACAGAGUAAUGCACAGCUGCCAGGUCACACAAUUUGAGAACUGCUUCAGAACAGUCAACUCUUCCACGCUGUUGCUAAGAGACGGGGGAGGUGGGGAGGCAUUCAUCCCUUGAACAAAAGGGAGGGGAAAAACACGAACAGACAUGAACUCUAAGUUUUGGAAAUGAUUUCAUGGACUCCUAUUUUCUGAACGUUAGUGUCUUUGGAGACAUUUUCAUGUGUUGAGUUCCUACUGUGUGCUAUGUGUGGCUCAAGGCACUGGGGAGAGAGCAGUGGACAAAGUCCCUGUUUUCAUGGAGCUUCUAUUGGAUUUGGUCUUCUCCUUUGAUGUUGAGGGGACUGACUGAGGUCCUCAGAAGGGAAGAACUUGCCUAAGAACUGAAGGCAACCUAUUGGCAAAGCUGAUAUUUGAAUCCAGGCCUCCUAAAUCCAAGAUCGAGACUUUUUCCAUAUACUACAUUUUACAAAAGAGAUUCAUCUGCAGCAGAUUUUAACGUUAGCUAGGACUUAAGUACCUCAGCUAGGUCAAGGUCCAUUCACUGGAGAUUUCUGCAAAUGAGUCCAAAAAAAUGAUGUUUUUUUAAUUUCAAGUGUCCCACGGAGAAGUUUCAUAUUUAUUCAGAGUCCUUGUCUUCCAUUAUUACACCUAGUUGAAUGAAACUGUAUAGUAUGAAAGGAGGUAGGGAGAAUCAAAACAGGAAAAAGAUUUGGGUAUCUCAUAACUGCUGAAAAUUAGCAAGACAUGGAAGUCAAGAGAUCUGGGUGCAGAAGCAGUUUCUACUUCUUCCUACCUGUGACCUUACCUCUUUAGGCCUGUUUUCCCACCUAUAACAUGAGGGAUUGCAUUAUAAUAAUCUCAGCAUUCUUCUCCAGCUCUAAAUUUAUGAUGAGUCACCCAACAGUGCCAUGCAGUGAAAAUAGCCCUAAGGCCCUAAGAUGUAAUUUCAGAGAGUGACUGUGGUUCAAAGAUGAAAAACUGAGUGUUAAUUGCCCCUUCUCCUGUGCUCCCAUGGUCCUAGGGCAGGGUGCUGCUGUAGUGCACAUUCUGCUGUGCAUGCUGAGAAGCUGGCUCCGGGUCUGCACCAGCAGAAAGGUCUGUGCUUAUGGAGGGUGAGCACUGUGUCCUGUGCACUGCCACGUGACUGUUUUUGUAGGCCUUUCUUCCCAUCAGACCAUGACUACUUUGAUGGCAGGGACCAUGUCUUAUUUAUCCUUCUGCCUUAGUGCCUGCCGCUGAGUAGUCUGUAGAUGUUUACAGAGUGAAGGAAUCAAUGAAUAAUGACUGAGUGAGAAAACUAUACUUUUUCAGGGUCAAUAAAGGAAAUAGCACAAGAGAAUCUCCCCUGAUAAACUUGUCAAAGUGAUCCCAGAAUUAAACAUUCAGGCUGGAGAGGUUAUUAGUGACUUGCUUAAGGCCACAUUGUUUAAAAGCAGCAAAGCUAGGACUCCUUUCCUCUCUCCUUUUCUUUCUUUUAUUCAGUACCCCAAAAGGGUGUUUGGCUCCAGCAUUGAACACAGGUGACUUUGAAUAACAAUUUAUCGGAACAAGAUGAAUUUUGAAGCAGGUAGGAGGGUGGCUUUUGAGUCUGACAGAUGUGGGUUCAAAUCCUCUGGGGCCGCUGACUAUCAGUGUGAUCUAUGGCAACUUAACCUCCCGGAAGCUCAGUUUCCUCGUGUGAAAAGUAGAAGUGAUAACAUCUCCACCAUCUCCCUUGCAGGCUGCUUCUGUGGGGUCAUUUGAAGGCUUAUGGUUAACCCAGAUAAGAGCUACAGCCUGAACUAAGACUGGGUCCUUGCAGCUCUCCAACACAUGAUUGCUGCCUGCCAGAACCACAGACCUUUCUCGGGACUGGCACGAAUUUCAGCCAACAGAGCCUGCACAGAAACACAUGGAAAAGGCUUCCGGUGGAGCUUACUGUGAGUCACAGACAGCCAUAGUUGCACUGGAUAGAGAGCUGGCAGAUGCCAUCAGCAUAUGCCCUUAGAAACUUUGGUUGUUUUGUGGCCUGGAGAAGAGCCCAGAAUUAUGGAGCCUAAGAGGCAGCACCUCUGCUUUCUGAAGAGGAAGCCGUAGUGCCGUGGACUUCACCACGUGCACAGUGGCUGCAUCCAGACCUGAAUGCCCCUCUCAUUACUCACCGGAAGUGAGCUUUGAACACUUCACACAGGAAGAUGACUCGCUCCUCCAACAAGAUGCAGAAAGUCUUUCCAAGCAAAUGACUUGAAGUGUUUAAAUAUUCUGUUUCUUAGUCUGCUUUUUUUCUGUUAAAUCCUUCAGCUUGAAUGAGCACCUUUAUCUGCAAAUUGAUCUGGUUGUAGCAUCCCUUGACCAUGUAGGUGGAUUUUUAAUUUGUACUUAAGGCCAGUUACAAUAUGCCAUCUGCAACUCUGCUCCCUUUAUGCUCCUGUAGCACUGCUAUAGAGAGGAAGGGUUUGUCGUAGCAAUGGGAAAUAAAACAAUGAGCAUACAACUUUUACAAUUGGAAAUGAAGAAGCAUAAAAAAAAAUAACGGCUGAUAUUUGUUAUCGGUCAGGCCUGAGUAUGAGAAUUAUGGGUCUCUAACAUGCCUGAAUUAGCAAGAGGAUGAAAUUGCAAGAAGGCAGGCUGGAGAACAACCUCUUGACCCCACUCAGCAUUUUGGAGCAUGGCAGCUUAACAGAUCCAACACAGAAAACAAGGGAAUGGGUUAGUCUGGUGCUCAUUCUCAAAGGUAGAUGUGUCUGAAGUGAGAACUCUUGUUUGCAUUCUCUGGAA
RNAcentral lists this long non-coding RNA (3506 nucleotides) under Homo sapiens (human). Its description in RNAcentral is "HSALNT0007532". The record is from RNAcentral. Lineage: Eukaryota; Metazoa; Chordata; Mammalia; Primates; Hominidae.